CACGCAUGACACACUGCAUAUCAAUAAGCGGAGGAAAAGAAACUAACAAGGAUUCCCUUAGUAACGGCGAGUGAAGCGGGAAGAGCUCAAAUUUGAAAUCUUCAAGGUUUUACCUUGACGAAUUGUAGUUUAAAGAAGUGUUUUCUGUUGGAGUUUUGGUAAAAGUUCUUUGGAAUAGGACAUCAUAGAGGGUGAGAAUCCCGUAUUUGACCAUUAUUUUCAGCUGUGUGAUACACUUUCAAAGAGUCGGAUUGUUUGGGAAUGCAGUCCAAAAUGGGUGGUAAAUUUCAUCUAAAGCUAAAUAUUGGCGAGAGACCGAUAGCGAACAAGUACCGUGAGGGAAAGAUGAAAAGAACUUUGAAAAGAGAGUUAAACAGUACGUGAAAUUGUCAAAAGGGAAGCGUUUGACACCAGUGUUGUUUUCUCGAAAAUCAAUUAAAAAAUGCUGGAUUUUGUGUUGUAUUGACCUUAUAAGCUUUCUGCACUCUUUUCUUGUCUUUUUUAAUGCACUUUUCGUUUAACAAGUCAACAUCAGUUUCUUUUGUUGUAAAAGGGUCAUUGGAAGGUGGCUUUCUUUUCGGAGAAAGUGUUUAUAGCCUUUGAUCUCUGCAACCGGAGAGACUGAGGUCUGCAGCGUAGACUCUUCGGGGUUAGAUACAUUUGUGCUAAGCUAUAGCUUUUUAUAGACAACUUGUUGACUAUAUUUAGUCUUGUGGCUUACUCGCUUAUGCUAUUUUACCUACGCUUAGGAUGUUGAGCGCAUGUCUCUCUCU
RNAcentral lists this ribosomal RNA (773 nucleotides) under uncultured Neocallimastigales. RNAcentral describes it as "partial large subunit ribosomal RNA". It matches the Rfam family "Eukaryotic large subunit ribosomal RNA", at positions 24 to 616 of the family's 3401-position model. Lineage: Eukaryota; Fungi; Neocallimastigomycota; Neocallimastigomycetes; Neocallimastigales. The record is from RNAcentral.